RNAcentral lists this long non-coding RNA (312 nucleotides) under Capsicum annuum. RNAcentral describes it as "long non-coding RNA (CANN_LNC013546)". Lineage: Eukaryota; Viridiplantae; Streptophyta; Magnoliopsida; Solanales; Solanaceae. The record is from RNAcentral.
UAUCACACACAGUGUUGACAUUACUAAAUACGCCAGAUUUUCAAUAUUAUCGCUUACUCUAUAAAAAAAACAGAAGAAAAAAUCUCUAUUCUUGAUAUUCUCUAUGGAUUAAAGAAAAGAUCUCAAUUCCUGCAUAGUCUCUGUCAGAUAUGUUUGAACAAAUAUAAUUCUGGAUCUGUCAAGUUUUGAACUGUGCGGCCAUUGGCGCUUAAGAGUUGGUUAUUAAAGAAGUUAGAUAUUAGCUUAUUAAUUGUUACAGUGUAAAUGAUUUUUCCCAAACCAUAGGUAGAAUCUAGAUUGUUGAGUACCACC